UUGAACGCUGGCGGUAUACUUUACACAUGCAAGUCGAACGGCAGCACAAAACAACCUGGUAGCAAAUGACGAACAAAUAAGUAACAUAUCGGAACAUAUCCGGAAGUAAAGGAUAACAUAGCGAAAGUUACGCUAAUACCGCAUAUGCCCUGAGGGAAAAAAAAAGGAUCACAAGACCUCUCGCUUUCGGAGUGGCCGAUAUCGGAUUAGCUAGAUGGUGAGGUAAAGGCUCACCAUGGCGACGAUCCGUAGCUGGUCUGAGAGGACGACCAGCCACACUGGAACUGAGACACGGUCCAGACUCCUACGGGAGGCAGCAGUGGGGAAUUUUGGACAAUGGGCGCAAGCCUGAUCCAGCCAUACCGCGUGAGUGAAGAAGGCCUUCGGGUUGUAAAGCUCUUUCAGCCGGAAAGAAAUCGCACUAAUUAAUACCUUGUGUGGAUGACAGUACCGGAAAAAGAAGCACCGGCUAACUACGU
RNAcentral lists this ribosomal RNA (479 nucleotides) under uncultured bacterium. RNAcentral describes it as "bacterial SSU rRNA". It matches the Rfam family "Bacterial small subunit ribosomal RNA", at positions 30 to 506 of the family's 1533-position model. The record is from RNAcentral.